RNAcentral lists this ribosomal RNA (429 nucleotides) under Bacteroidota bacterium. Its description in RNAcentral is "Bacteroidetes bacterium partial 16S ribosomal RNA". It matches the Rfam family "Bacterial small subunit ribosomal RNA", at positions 355 to 776 of the family's 1533-position model. Lineage: Bacteria; Pseudomonadati; Bacteroidota. The record is from RNAcentral.
UAGGGAAUCUUCCGCAAUGGACGCAAGUCUGACGGAGCAACGCCGCGUGAGUGAAGAAGGAUUUCGGUUCGUAAAACUCUGUUGUUAGAGAAGAACAGCGCAUAGAGUAACUGUUAUGCGUGUGACGGUAUCUAACCAGAAAGCCACGGCUAACUACGUGCCAGCAGCCGCGGUAAUACGUAGGUGGCAAGCGUUGUCCGGAUUUAUUGGGCGUAAAGCGAGCGCAGGCGGUCAAUUAAGUCUGAUGUGAAAGCCCCCGGCUCAACCGGGGAGGGUCAUUGGAAACUGGUUGACUUGAGUGCAGAAGAGGAGAGUGAAAUUCCAUGUGUAGCGGUGAAAUGCGUAGAUAUAUGGAGGAACACCAGUGGCGAAGGCUACUCUCUGGUCUGUAACUGACGCUGAGGCUCGAAAGCGUGGGUAGCAAACAGG